This 301-nucleotide long non-coding RNA is filed under the name Phoenix dactylifera (date palm). Its description in RNAcentral is "long non-coding RNA (PDAC_LNC011458)". The record is from RNAcentral. Lineage: Eukaryota; Viridiplantae; Streptophyta; Magnoliopsida; Arecales; Arecaceae.
ACUCGAGUUCGAUAGUGAAAAACUCUUUCUCCACUUUAUAUUACUGCCCUGGCCAAGGUCUUAGAACUCAGUCUAACAAAUCACAUAGGAUCACUCCUCUUCUAUCAAGGUCGAUAGAUUCCAUGUAAGUGCAUACCCUACUCCUACAGUGAACUUACUGCAGCCAAUCUACACUACAAGGACCCAUAUGACUAGAGACCAUGUAUACGUGUAGUCAAACUACAAUAACCUCACUGUGAGUAGCCGAAGCACCGCAGGUCAAAGGACCAGUCAUACUACUGCAACAUCAAGUAAGUCACUG